Long non-coding RNA from Hyaena hyaena (striped hyena), 243 nucleotides. RefSeq lists it as uncharacterized. The record is from RefSeq and is a predicted model, not a curated record. Lineage: Eukaryota; Metazoa; Chordata; Mammalia; Carnivora; Hyaenidae. The transcript is spliced from 3 exons.
UCAGAUAGCUGAGGUUUUGAGAAUGGAUAUCCCUAUUACAUUACUGAGGGUCAAAUGGGCUGAGCUUCUAAUCCGUUCAAGCCAGAGUGAAUUGAUGCUAAUAGAAUAAGUUCUCCUCACCUCCAGCCCCAGUGAAUCGAGAACAAAGAGAAGAAGUAAGAGAAACUUCAGCCACCUUGUGCAAUUGGGGGGCUUAAAAGAGAAGUUGCAGUCAUUUACAGAGAAAUAAAGCAUUUUUUUUAA